GAGAAAGAAGCACACUGCAUAUUCUGGUGAAGGGCAGAUCAUGAGCUUUCACUCAAAAAGGGAUACAAACUAUAGGAAUCACUAUGUCCAAGAAAGCUCAUGUCAUUGUUACUAGGGAAAUCCAAAAGAAGUUGCAAUGCUGAUUCAGAUGAAUCUUCCAUGGCGUUGGAGCUAGACGUGUCUGAUCCUUGCAAGAAAUCUUCUGUGUAUGGUUGGCCAAUUUUCCACUCUUUAUAUUCAUGUUGGUUGCUUCCUGUCACUGGUGAACCAGCAACACCGAGUUCAAACUCAGUCGUAAUGCCUGAAGCUGAUCCAUACUUUGUACAUGUGGAUGCUUGAGAGGUUGGACUUUGACAAGCAUUUUUUUCUCCUUUCUUGAAUUUCCUAAAUGACUCACCUAUCUCUGAGUUCCAUAUGCGCAGAAAAUAGUCAGUCUCAGACCUUCCAACUGAUGAUGGAACCAAGAAUUGUGACUCUCUGGAAAGACGAGCCUCAGCUUCGAGCCUAGCACUUUCCCAUUGAGCCAAGUGACGCGCAGAAGGUGAGGUAGCUGGUCUUCUCAGCAGUCCAUUGGGGUCAGAGUACUGUUCAUGAGUCUGAGGAUCAAUGCCCAUGGAAAGCAGGCGCUUCUUCAGGUGAGUAUUCCACAGAUUCUUUAUCUCAUUGUCUGUCCUCCCAGGUAAUUGUGAAGCAAUUGCAGCCCAUCU
RNAcentral lists this unclassified non-coding RNA (707 nucleotides) under Hevea brasiliensis (rubber tree). The record is from RNAcentral. Lineage: Eukaryota; Viridiplantae; Streptophyta; Magnoliopsida; Malpighiales; Euphorbiaceae.